AGUCGCGUGGUCUAAUGGUUAUGAUAUCUCGUUCACAGUUAAAGUGAGCCCUUCCACUGGAAGAUCCGAGAUGGUUCCCGGUUCGAUCCCGGGCGCGACUA
RNAcentral lists this transfer RNA (101 nucleotides) under Aspergillus wentii. RNAcentral's name for it is "tRNA-Val". RNAcentral also lists the same sequence under 1 other name. The record is from RNAcentral. Lineage: Eukaryota; Fungi; Ascomycota; Eurotiomycetes; Eurotiales; Aspergillaceae.